CAGUUGUUUGCGGAAUUGCGGAAAUGACUGUUCCCCUUUCACUUGCAUGGAAGAACUUCCGAUUCUUUUUUGAAUCUGCUGUCUGUUCUGUUAUUUACUCCCAGAACGAGGAAGUUAAUGUUGCACAUUUUUAAUCUCCAAUUCUUUAGGGAAAAGUCACUUUACGCGGAGCUGCCUCUCUGCUAAAUCAGGAAACUGAGCCUGUCUGUGGCGCCCCACGUUGGUUUUAACGUCCACCAAGCAUCGAUGUUUUUGCAGAGUGGUACCACACAUGGAACCGAUGGACUGGCUGCAGAACCACGAACUCUUGCGUUUUUUUCGCCGUCAUAAAACCGAAAUGUCCUGCAUGGAGAACCCGCACACGUUCCUCUGCCAGCUCAGGGAUCACGACCUGAUCCCCGAGGACCGAUACAAGAAGGUGAGUUGUAUGAGGAGUAAGGACAACAUGCGGAAAGGUCUCUAUGAAAUUCUGGACAGGUUUGAGACAGAGCGAUCGCAGGAGAUCAGAGAGUUCUGGAGAUGCGUAUUUAAGGACUCCAUCCUGAACCAGUAUCCCACGCUGCGACUAUUGCGCAACAGCCUCAUGGACGGGUCUUUUCAUUUCGAAAUAUCAGAGAAGAUGGGGAAGGAAGAGUCGGACAAAGGGAAACCGAAGGCCCUCUCGGAUAGCGAGGAGGAAGAGGAGGGAGAGAAGGGAGAGGAGAAGCAAGAAAAGUCUGUGGCAAAGAAGAGAAACCUAAGAAGUAGGAGCGCGCGCAGCGACGACCACGAGGAGGAGCUGGCCGGUCCAUCGUCUCAGUUGACUCCCAGGAAAAAGUUCAAGAAAAUAUGCUUCUCCACUCCACUGAAGAAGGGCGAGGAGAAGAACAUUUGGAACUGGCCCAUCUAUAAACUCCAGCUGCCUGUGACCUGUGGAAACCGUGAGGGCACACUGAAUAGACCAAGGCUGGCUAAAGGGGAAAGGUGCAUUGUGGUCGGGAAACAGUGGUUCAGUCCCACUGAAUUUGAGAUUUUCGCUGGGAAAAAGAGCUCCAAGAACUGGAAGUCGAGCAUUCGAUGUAUGGAAACCCCGCUGGGAAAACUUAUAGAGCAAGGUCACUUACAAGCAGUAACGUACAAAGGAGGCCCUAAAAAAGUCAAGAAAUCCCUGUUCCCACCUGGUGAUGCAACCAUAGUGUCCAGCGGAGACGAAGAUGAAGAGGAGGACCGUCACCUGGACGAGGAGGACAGGGUUUCGUCAAGCAGCAGAGAAAGUUCCCCACCUCUCUCAGACGAGGAAAGAGAGCAACAGGCCGAGCUGCAGCCACAAGCCAGCCAUGACGGCGGCAAGACGGUGUUCAGAGUCACGUGUGGAGCUUCGAACGGGACUUUGCACAAGAAACGAUUUGCGUCAGGGACUUGUGGGAAGAGUAUCCGCACCGAGACGAGCUGGAUGACCCCAGUGGAGUUCCUGGAGUUGGAACUUGGUCGGAAAGAUGCCUCUUGGAAGAAAGACAUCGAUUGUGAGGGGAGACCGCUCUGUGUCCUCGUAAAGGCCGAGACCUUGAGGAUCCACUCUCUGCUGUGUAAUUGCAGCCUUUGCAAACCAGAUGAAGAAGAACAGAAGAAUCAGAAAAAUGAUGACGAGUGUUGCAUCUGUAGGAUGGAGGGAGAGUUGGUGAUGUGCGAUGACUGCCCUCGUGCCUUCCACCCGAAAUGUCACCUGCCUCAUGUAGAGGACGGCCUUUUAGGUAACGAGAUUGGGUGGCUUUGUACGUUCUGCGUAUACCGAACCAAUGAAAGGUAUUUGUACUCGGAGAGGAUGGAAAGAGAAGCAGCUCUGUCGUACCAAAUAUCCCAACGCAUGUUGCAGUGCCAGUAUCUCCUUCUGUGUCUGUGGAGUGCCGAUGAGGAACAAAUAUUUGCUGCAAACCCCUGCCUCUAUUUGACCGACUACUCUGAUGUGAUCGAGGCUCCGAUGUGGUUCGGUGACAUAGCAGGCAAACUCCAGCAGAACCUCUACCAGACCGUUGGAGAGUUUGUGACUGACGUCCAUCUCGUUUUCUCCAACUGUGCUUUAUACAACCGGAAAAAUGCUGAACUUCUCGUCACGGGCAACAGACUGAAGGAGUCAUUUGACAGAGAAUUUAAGAGCGUGUUCAACAUCAAGGAAUAGGCUGGUGGCGCAUUAACAGUGUUCUGGUGCCAAACUCAGUAACGCCUGUGGAAACGUCUCCGUGGAUCAUAGUUUCGUGCGGACCCCGGUUCUGACUCCUGGCUCAUGGCUCUGCUGACACCUGCUGCUGCCAUCAUCAUUACUUUAAAUAUGAUUCAUAUUACUGUCAUCAAAAACCAACAUCUUUCUGCUCUCCCUCCCCACAGAAGCCUCUGUGGAUGGUGGUUCGAUCUGAUGGAGGUUGUCCCUGCAGUGGUCCUGCCGUACACCUCUUCUGCUACUUGCAAUUACUUGUAUCAUUUCAGUUAGAGAAAUUGAAUGUAUUGUACAUCUUUUACAUUGUUGAUUCUGUACACAUGACAUCCAUUGCAGUCUGUCCAUCCCGGGAGAGGGAUCCCUCCUCUGACGUUCUCCCUAAGGUUUCUUCCCUUUUUUCCCCAUUGAAGGGUUUUUUUUCAUAUUUUGGGGAGUUUUUCCUGUGCCGAUGUGAGGGUUUCGGGACAGAGGAUGUUGCAUGUGUACAGACUGUAAAGCCCUCUGAGGCAAAUUUGUAAUUUGCGAUUUUGGGCUAUACAAAAUAAAAUGAAUUGAAUUGAAUUGAAUUGAAUUGAAUUGAAUUGAAUGUGGUGAGGGUUCCAAAAUGAAUGCAUGGAUUGUUAGUGUCAGUGCUUGUUUGGAGUUCUUCGAGUCGUGCAACAGUGUCACCUUAAAGCCUUUAAAUUGCAAUUAAUGUUCUACUUUCUGUCUUCAUUGAUGGGAUGUAUCUUUUAAAAUAAAAUCGAAUAAUGGCA
This is an RNA transcript of Pungitius pungitius (ninespine stickleback), 2946 nucleotides long. It is a transcript of the gene named SP110 nuclear antigen, tandem duplicate 1, with no coding region annotated. The transcript has 17 exons. The record is from RefSeq and is a predicted model, not a curated record. Lineage: Eukaryota; Metazoa; Chordata; Actinopteri; Perciformes; Gasterosteidae.